Molecule: long non-coding RNA, 1009 nt
Filed under: Bos indicus x Bos taurus (hybrid cattle)
Lineage: Eukaryota; Metazoa; Chordata; Mammalia; Artiodactyla; Bovidae
Description: lncRNA (ENSBIXG00000015474.1)
Source: RNAcentral
GGCUAGGACUUUACAAGACUACCAAGUGCUCUUUUUCUUGGAUUAAUUUCAACUGUUUUUGAGGUGUUGCAAGAAAAUCAACAAGGGCCUCUCUCUAUUUGGCCAAAAAAAUGGAUUUCUGGCUUGUCUCCAGGGAAUUCCCAAAGUGAGUUUCCUAUUUACAACUGGGGAGUCUAGAUUUACAAAUCUUUUAGAUUUCUUCUGGAAGAGAUAGGAACAGGCUCCUCUGGGCUCCAUGUGGGCUGGUCAGCUACAACUUCUUUAUAUAGGCUACACUUAAAUAUCCUUAUCACUGCGCUCAGCUGGAGCUGCCUGGGCAGUGUUAGGACAGAAGAAGAUAAAUAAAAGGCUCGGGACUCAUACAAAAAGGUGCCAAGGACUAAACCUGUGGAGCCAAGCUAAUGCUGUAGCCCAACGCUGGAGAGGUCAGCUUCCUGAAGGAAUCAAGAUUGACUGAGGUGUGGUGCAGGGCCAAGGGAAGCAGGGAAGACUCCUGGAGAUCCCCAUCAGGUUUACAGCACGUGGCUUCUACACAAAACAACACUGGCAACAGAGGUUAAUACUCUUACGAAAGGCCUAAGCAACUACCAUUCGAGGCACUCACAGAUGUAGCUGAUGCAUCAUACAGGACCGUCAGCGUAGCCCUGGAAAAGCCAGCCUCAUGAUGACGGAUGGUGGUCUGGAACACAGCUUGAGUGAUAAUAAAGUGCCAAGUGAAAGUAAAUGAGCUGAGGAAAAAACAAACAGAAAACUUCUGAGACCUAUUUUGAGGUACCCUCAACUGAGUCAGAAGGCUGGAAACCCCGGGAACUAUUUCCCAGAACCACUACCAGCGGCUUCCACCCUAGACGUGGCAGGUGAAAUUUACAAGGGAAAAAGGGCAAAAGCCUUAUUUCUGGUCCUCUGGAGGCUAGCGUGGGAGGCCCUGGACUUCAGUAGACACGAAGUUACAGCAGCUGUUGCAUAUUCCCCUGAAAAGCACCUUUCUCAGUGCCUGAAGAAGCUCUGA